Molecule: ribosomal RNA, 305 nt
Filed under: uncultured bacterium
Lineage: Bacteria
Description: bacterial SSU rRNA
Rfam family: Bacterial small subunit ribosomal RNA
Source: RNAcentral
UUGUCCUACGGGAGGCAGCAGUGAGGAAUAUUGGUCAAUGGGCGGUAGCCUGAACCAGCCAAGUAGCGUGAAGGAUGAAGGUUCUAUGGAUUGUAAACUUCUUUUAUAAAGGAAUAAAGUGAGGCACGUGUGCCUUUUUGUAUGUACUUUAUGAAUAAGGAUCGGCUAACUCCGUGCCAGCAGCCGCGGUAAUACGGAGGAUCCGAGCGUUAUCCGGAUUUAUUGGGUUUAAAGGGAGCGUAGGCGGAUUAUUAAGUCAGUUGUGAAAGUUUGCGGCUCAACCGUAAAAUUGCAGUUGAUACUGG